GCAUCUGAAAUUAUUGAUCUGAAUAUGGCUGCUGCUGAGGUCUCCUUAUCAGUUGAUGGAGUUGAACACUAUCCAGAUGAGGGUGCCAUAAGUAUAGGUACCUCACACAGAGGUAUAGCUGAAGGAAAGCAAGGCGUAGUCUGGAGGAAACGGAACACCAAAUCUGAAGGACCAAACUUUAGGGUUCCUAAUACUAGUAAGGGGAGUGCGUUGCAGCGAGCACUUUUGAAGUUUGCUGAUCGGACAACCGAUUAUAUUAUCAACCCCUAUGUUGGGACAGAAUUUGAUCACUGUGAUGAGGCAUAUGAGUACUACAAUUUGUAUUCAUGGGAGUGUGGGUUCGGAAUCCGGUUGGGUAAGAAAAGGUGGUCAGAGAAGAAAAGGAAAAACAAUCAACCGGAUGGAACACGGUACCAGCUGGGCCAGGAAUUCUACUGCAGCUGCCGGGGGAUUCCCGAUGCAAAUGUGAAAACAAGCUCAUCGAAAACCAACUGCAAAGCGAUGCUUCGCUUGCACCGUACACAAGAUGAUGGCUGGGUAGUUGUGGAGCACAUUUCAGAACAUAAUCAUCCUUUGUCACAAACCUGUGGUGAGAAGAAGCAGUAGCCAUCGCAUCAUCAUCUGGACAAGUACACCAAGGAUCUGGUUCGUAUGUUAAGAGAGAACAACAUUGGUAUUACCAAGCUGUAUAGCAUCCUUGGCGAUUUCUUUGGGUGCAUGCAGAACGUGCCUGCAACCAAGAGAUGCUUGAAAACACUGUGUCAAAAGAUAAACCGUGAGCAAGCAGAAGACGAUAUCAAGAAAACUUUGAAUAUGAUAAGCGAGCUUCGUAGGAAUGAUCCUGGUUUUAUGUUUAGUGUUGAUACAGAUGAGGAUGGUCGGAUAAAGACAUUAAUGUGGACCAACAGCCGAAGCAGGAUGCAAUACGAGCAUUUUGGUGAUGUAGUCAGCUUUGACACCACAUUCAAAACAAACCUGUACGACAUGCCAUUUGGAUUAUUUGUUGGAGUAAACGAUCAUUUCCAAACUGUGUUGCUUGGCGGGGUGCUAAUGACUGAUGAGAAGAUAGAGAGUUCCAAAUGGGUCUUCCGGGAAUUUGCAUCACUCAUGGGCGGAAAAGAACCUUCCACAAUACUAACAGAUCAAUGUCGAGCGAUGGAGGUGGCUAUUGCAGAAGAGUGGAGGAACACUGUACAUCGUUGGUGUAAGUGGCAUGUACUUAAAAGGGUGAAAGAGUGUGUGGGCACAAAAUAUACCAGC
This is a long non-coding RNA of Panicum virgatum (switchgrass), 1260 nucleotides long. RefSeq lists it as uncharacterized. Lineage: Eukaryota; Viridiplantae; Streptophyta; Magnoliopsida; Poales; Poaceae. The transcript is spliced from 4 exons. The record is from RefSeq and is a predicted model, not a curated record.